Molecule: small RNA, 125 nt
Filed under: Marmota monax (woodchuck)
Lineage: Eukaryota; Metazoa; Chordata; Mammalia; Rodentia; Sciuridae
Source: RNAcentral
GCUGCGUGCAGUGGUGCACGCCUGUAAUCCCAGCUGCUCAGGAGGCUGAGACAGGAGGAUUGCAAGUUCAAAGCCAGCCUCAGCAAAAGUGAGAUGUUCAGUAACUCAGUGAGACCCUGUCUCUA